Long non-coding RNA from Gallus gallus (chicken), 1645 nucleotides. Lineage: Eukaryota; Metazoa; Chordata; Aves; Galliformes; Phasianidae. The record is from Ensembl.
CAGGGUACCCUUCACCAGUCCACCGAAGUAUCUGUAGAACAGACAUGGAGAAAUGGAGCUGGUGGAAGGUAGGCAGAAGGGAGUCUGAAGAUCUUCAGUUGUACCGAUCCUGGACUAGGUGCUUACUGAAGGCCAACUGCUUCUCAAGCUUUAGGAAGGGCUAAACAACCAUUCUACAAUCCCAGGACAGCAGGCAACGGAUGCCCAGAUACUUGUGGUUGUAUGUGAGGGAAAGCAGCAAAGAACUGCCAGGAGUACUUUUACUUACAGUGACCCUUUCACAGCAACUCCGGCAAGUGAGCUUGGCUAUAUUUUUUGUACAAAUUCAAAUGACUUUGGUGAUAUUACCUACCCCUGCUACUUGAAGACCACUCCUCUGCUUCAGUUCCUGAAGAGUCAGUCAAGAGGAAUACAAAUAUGCAAAUACCAGUGUCGGGCCAGAGAUGGGAUUGGCAAAAUUCCCAGGCUCAGAGGAAUAGAAAAUAUCAAGAGGUUGUCCAUGGCUCAAGUCUUGAUUUGUUCCUUUCCUUUUCACUAACUGCCAGCGUACCACAGAUAAGAAGAAAAUAUGAAGGCUGCCAGGAAAGGACAACACAGCUUUGUGAAUAAAUUCUUAUCCUCCAGCUUCAGACACUUGCAGUUCCUACUGCAACCUGAGCAUAGUUGAAUUUCACAUUCAAGGAUGCACAUAUUUUUAAGUUAUACCCAGCAACCAGGAGUAUGUAGAAACAAGUGCUCCUCUGCACUCAGUUUAUUUUCAUCAGCGUAAGCAGGGCCCAACCCACAAAUAAGCACACAAAAGGAUUUUUGUCUCUGAUCUUAACGGCAUUAGGAAUUAAUUAUGAUACUUCCUUAUACACCCAGAAACUUAACUAGAUGAUAAACAGAAAUGUGAUCAGUGAGUGCCCUAAGCCAUAAGCCCAUAAAACAGUGCAAAGCUGUUGACAGCCCUUGAACAGGAUUUUUGUUCUCAGAGCAGGACUAUAUUCAUUCAUACUGUGUGGUCAUUCUCCUUACAAUUAAAAGGCAUCUCAUGGUGCCACACAUCGCUGUCACAUUUAAAUAAGAUUAAAAGUGUGUGAAAGUAUUUAAGUACUUCUUUUCCCCCUGAAAAAACAAUGCAUAAAUCUAAUCUGAAAACACAAGUGCUUCUGUUUAAUGUAUUUAGGGAAGCAUCCAAAAGAAUUUUCCUAAAGUUUAUCAUGGUAAAUUUAAAAAAAGAAUAUACGGGAUAAAAUUUCAGACUGACUUCAGGUAUGCUUUAAGCCUUUCACUCCAGUUUCAGAAUUCACAUAUUCAGAGUUUUUGUUCUGCUAUCUCUAUCAUUCCCAGUUCCACCCUAGUUGGAAUAAAAGGUGGAUAAGGCAUAUUUUCCACAAUUUUCUUCACGCAGAAAACAGCAUAACCAGCAAAAUACACGGAGUGAGUUGUCAUCAUCUUUUCUACACUUUCCGAUGAGCAACUAAGAGAGACAACAGGGAGGCAACUCCCAGCACUUCGUAAAAAUAGUUCCAAAAAUAAAAACCUAUGUGUGUUUUAUACAUAGUUGCUUCAGUUCUACUUAAAACCAACACAAGCAUCAACCAUCAAUUUACAAGUAUUUCCACUGAAAUAUUUCUCAUACACGAAUAAAUUUCUCAUAUAU